This 624-nucleotide ribosomal RNA is filed under the name Variovorax sp. RNAcentral's name for it is "bacterial SSU rRNA". It matches the Rfam family "Bacterial small subunit ribosomal RNA", at positions 56 to 675 of the family's 1533-position model. Lineage: Bacteria; Pseudomonadati; Pseudomonadota; Betaproteobacteria; Burkholderiales; Comamonadaceae. The record is from RNAcentral.
UGCAAGUCGAACGGCAGCGCGGGAGCAAUCCUGGCGGCGAGUGGCGAACGGGUGAGUAAUACAUCGGAACGUGCCCAAUCGUGGGGGAUAACGCAGCGAAAGCUGUGCUAAUACCGCAUACGAUCUACGGAUGAAAGCAGGGGAUCGCAAGACCUUGCGCGAAUGGAGCGGCCGAUGGCAGAUUAGGUAGUUGGUGAGGUAAAGGCUCACCAAGCCUUCGAUCUGUAGCUGGUCUGAGAGGACGACCAGCCACACUGGGACUGAGACACGGCCCAGACUCCUACGGGAGGCAGCAGUGGGGAAUUUUGGACAAUGGGCGAAAGCCUGAUCCAGCCAUGCCGCGUGCAGGAUGAAGGCCUUCGGGUUGUAAACUGCUUUUGUACGGAACGAAACGGUCUUUUCUAAUACAGAAGGCUAAUGACGGUACCGUAAGAAUAAGCACCGGCUAACUACGUGCCAGCAGCCGCGGUAAUACGUAGGGUGCAAGCGUUAAUCGGAAUUACUGGGCGUAAAGCGUGCGCAGGCGGUUAUGUAAGACAGUUGUGAAAUCCCCGGGCUCAACCUGGGAACUGCAUCUGUGACUGCAUAGCUAGAGUACGGUAGAGGGGGAUGGAAUUCCGCGUG